CUUUGAGAUCCAGAACAGAAUAAUGGAUUGUGGAAGGAGGUAUUGAGAAUAGGAGAGUAUAUGGGUUUGGCACCAUGGGGUGGAUAGGCAAAACAAUUUGGUUGAUAAGGCAUAGAUCCUGAACUAACAUGUAAGGCUUGUCUGGUUUUAGGACAGGUAAAAUGGGGGAAUUGUGGGAGAGUUUAUAGGCUUUAAAAGGCCAUGCUGUAGCAGGCGAGUGAUAACAGGCUUUAAUCCUUUGAAAGCAUGCUGUGGGAUGGGAUAUUGGCAUUGAGUGGGGUAAGGGUGAUUAGGUUUUAAUGAGAUGGUAAGGGUGCAUGAUUGGUCGCCAAGGAGGGAGUAGAGGUAUCUUAUACUUGUGGGUUAAGACACGGAGAAGGGGUAGGGGUUUCUUGCCCUCCAGAAAAGCAGAGGAAGUGUUGGGGCAUGGAAAUAAGGAAUUGGGGCACAGAGAUAAGAGGUUGGGGUGCGGAAAUAAGGGAUUGGGGCACAGAGAUAAGAGGUCGGGGUGUGG
This 514-nucleotide long non-coding RNA is filed under the name Homo sapiens (human). RNAcentral's name for it is "non-protein coding lnc-KHDRBS3-12:1". The record is from RNAcentral. Lineage: Eukaryota; Metazoa; Chordata; Mammalia; Primates; Hominidae.